RNAcentral lists this ribosomal RNA (432 nucleotides) under uncultured bacterium. RNAcentral describes it as "partial 16S ribosomal RNA". It matches the Rfam family "Bacterial small subunit ribosomal RNA", at positions 29 to 506 of the family's 1533-position model. The record is from RNAcentral.
AACGAACGCUGGCGGCAUGCCUAACACAUGCCAGUCGAACGAGACCUUCGGGUCUAGUGGCGCACGGGUGCGUAACGCGUGGGAACCUGCCCUUAGGUUCGGAAUAACUCCCCGAAAGGGGUGCUAAUACCGGAUAAUGUCUUCGGACCAAAGAUUUAUCGCCUUUGGAUGGGCCCGCGUUGGAUUAGCUAGUUGGUAGGGUAAAAGCCUACCAAGGCGACGAUCCAUAGCUGGUCUGAGAGGAUGAUCAGCCACACUGGGACUGAGACACGGCCCAGACUCCUACGGGAGGCAGCAGGGGGGAAUAUUGGACGAUGGGCGAAAGCCUGAUCCAGCAAUGCCGCGUGAGUGAUGAAGGCGUUAGGGUUGUAAAGCUCUUUUACCCGGGAUGAUAAGGACAGUACCGGGAGAAUAAGCUCGGGCUAACUCCGU